UGUGGGAGCGAGCUUGCUCGCGAUGGCGGCAGGUCAGCCAAAUGAAUAUCGGCUUGGACACCCUCAUCGCGAGCAAGCUCGCUCCCACA
Molecule: unclassified non-coding RNA, 89 nt
Filed under: Pseudomonas thivervalensis
Lineage: Bacteria; Pseudomonadati; Pseudomonadota; Gammaproteobacteria; Pseudomonadales; Pseudomonadaceae
Source: RNAcentral